UUAGGAGAAUUUACCCAGCAGGUUAGGAUAAUUUACCCAGCAGGUUAGGAGAAUUUACCCAGCAGGUUAGGAUAGUUAACGUGGCAGGUUAAGAGACUUGGGUUAAGGUUAGGAAAGGUUAGGGUUAGCUAAAAUGCUCUCCUAACCUGCUACUAAAAGUCAUACUUGCACACUAGUCAGAACUGAGCUUCACAGGGUCCGGACGUCAUUUAGACAUUAAUUGUAGCCAUGGACGCGCUGUAGAGUUGCUAUUGGGCGCAUUUGAGUGGUAAGUCGAACGCAGCAGACUUCUGGAGACAACUUCGACUGUUUCUAGAAAACACAACAAUGGCAGACAUUCACCUUCGGGUUAUUGCCGAUGAAGUGGAUGCUAUCAAAAUUCCUCUUCUCCUUCUCGGUAUUGGAUACAUUUGUGCUCAUCGGACAUUGAUGACUCAUAAUUUCUUCCUGAGACCAACA
Oncorhynchus tshawytscha (Chinook salmon) is the source of this 459-nucleotide long non-coding RNA. The record is from Ensembl. Lineage: Eukaryota; Metazoa; Chordata; Actinopteri; Salmoniformes; Salmonidae.